RNAcentral lists this ribosomal RNA (497 nucleotides) under uncultured bacterium. RNAcentral describes it as "partial 16S ribosomal RNA". It matches the Rfam family "Bacterial small subunit ribosomal RNA", at positions 28 to 507 of the family's 1533-position model. The record is from RNAcentral.
GAUGAACGCUGGCGGCGUGCCUAAUACAUGCAAGUCGAGCGAACGGACGAGAAGCUUGCUUCUCUGAUGUUAGCGGCGGACGGGUGAGUAACACGUGGAUAACCUACCUAUAAGACUGGGAUAACUUCGGGAAACCGGAGCUAAUACCGGAUAAUAUUUUGAACCGCAUGGUUCAAAAGUGAAAGACGGUCUUGCUGUCACUUAUAGAUGGAUCCGCGCUGCAUUAGCUAGUUGGUAAGGUAACGGCUUACCAAGGCAACGAUGCAUAGCCGACCUGAGAGGGUGAUCGGCCACACUGGAACGGAGACACGGUCCAGACUCCUACGGGAGGCAGCAGUAGGGAAUCCUCCGCAAUGGGCGAAAGCCUGACGGAGCAACGCCGCGUGAGUGAUGAAGGUCUUCGGAUCGUAAAACUCUGUUAUUAGGGAAGAACAUAUGUGUAAGUAACUGUGCACAUCUUGACGGUAACUAAUCAGAAAGCCACGGCUAACUACGUG